AAACCUAAACCUAAAACGUAAAUGUAUUCUCAAAUCCCUGAACCUAAACUUAUAACCUACGACAUUAACAUAAACUUAUAACCUAAACCAUAUGGUGAGACCAUUCCUUGGGAAGUGGGUACUUGUGGCUACCAAUGGUCCUCCUUGCGGAAAUCGUCCAGACGUUUAUUUUGGCCCUACAAACCAUAUGGUGAGACCAUUCCUUUUGUGUCAAUUUCAUUCCUCUUUGAGUUUUUAUUAAUUCAUUAAGACAAAAAAAUGGUUAUACAUGAUGCACUUCUUUCACUUUUUUUUUCUUUCCCCCAAUGGUCAUACUGAUUUAUGAAUGCCAUGACUAUUUGUAAGAUGAUGGAAUAUACGAAGCUGUUACAGGAAGUAACUUUGUCCUUACUAGAGUUGCAUUUCGAGACAACUCUUCAAAGUACUACAUAAAUGACCGUGGAAGUAAUUUUAUAGAGGUUACUAAGAAAUUGAAAGGAAAAGGAGUGGACUUGGACAAUAAUCGGUUUUUGAUUCUUCUGGGUGAAGUCGAACAAAUUUCUCUAAUGAAGCCAAAGAUUUGUAUUUUCAGCAUUAUUGUAAUUGUAAUUGAUUGAAUGAAGGAUUGUAAUUGGUUAUAAUUAUAAUUGAUUGAAUGAAGGAUUGUAAUUGAUUAUAAUGGAAUGAAUGAAUGAUUGUAAU
Magnolia sinica is the source of this 681-nucleotide long non-coding RNA. RefSeq lists it as uncharacterized. Lineage: Eukaryota; Viridiplantae; Streptophyta; Magnoliopsida; Magnoliales; Magnoliaceae. The transcript has 2 exons. The record is from RefSeq and is a predicted model, not a curated record.